RNAcentral lists this ribosomal RNA (119 nucleotides) under uncultured bacterium. RNAcentral describes it as "partial 16S ribosomal RNA". It matches the Rfam family "Bacterial small subunit ribosomal RNA", at positions 1384 to 1500 of the family's 1533-position model. The record is from RNAcentral.
UACACACCGCCCGUCACACCAUGGGAGUUGGUAACGCCCGAAGCCAGUGACCCAACCGGAAACGGAGGGAGCUGUCGAAGGUGGGACCGAUAACUGGGGUGAAGUCGUAACAAGGUACC